This is a long non-coding RNA of Spinacia oleracea (spinach), 498 nucleotides long. RefSeq lists it as uncharacterized. The record is from RefSeq and is a predicted model, not a curated record. The transcript is spliced from 2 exons. NCBI's taxonomy places the organism in Eukaryota, Viridiplantae, Streptophyta, Magnoliopsida, Caryophyllales, Amaranthaceae.
ACGAAAUUUUUGUUAAAACAAAAAAAAGAAUACAGCGCAGCUCCUUUGAUGCAAUAAUGGGCCAAGCCCAAAAUUACUUUCCUUUACACUAAAUUAUGAUGCACUACAAACUUACUAACCCUAAUUGCACUCUCAGACUCUCUCAGACUCUCUCUCUCUCUCUCUCUCUAAAAACAUAAGCGCCGCUUCCCGGUUCUUCUCAAUCUCUCAUCCUCUGCUCAACGGCUCAAUUCUUCGGUUCCUCUUCAUUCACUCGGUGUAUUUAUUCAACGAAAUUUUGGCAUCCCGUUAUCACAAAGCUACGAAUGGAGGAUGCAACACACUACAUUUUAGAUUUUUAGAUAUUUUUCUUACUAUUUAAGUUUUAAUUGAUUGUUUGAUUUUGUUGUAAUAUAAUUUUAAUAUUUAAUCCUGCACUUUUGUUUUGGUUUUAUGUUGAUGUUAAACACCAUCGUUAUUUCCAGAUCUAAUGAAAAAAGCUUGAUUAAUAUUCUUGUA